RNAcentral lists this ribosomal RNA (361 nucleotides) under uncultured bacterium. Its description in RNAcentral is "partial 16S ribosomal RNA". It matches the Rfam family "Bacterial small subunit ribosomal RNA", at positions 338 to 696 of the family's 1533-position model. The record is from RNAcentral.
CCUACGGGGUGCAGCAGUGAGGAAUAUUGGUCAAUGGGCGUAAGCCUGAACCAGCCAAGUCGCGUGAGGGAAGAAGGUUCUAUGGAUCGUAAACCUCUUUUAUAAGGGAAUAAAGUGUGGGACGUGUCCUGUUUUGUCUGUACCUUAUGAAUCAGGAUCGGCUAACUCCGUGCCAGCAGCCGCGGUAAUCCGGAGGUGCCGGGCGUUAUCUGGAUUUAUGGGGUUUAAAGGUUAAGUAGGGGGAGGUUUAAGCCAGCGGUGAAAGACUGUGGCACAACCAUAGAAGUGCCGUUGAAACUGGAAGGCGUGAGUAUGUUUGGGGCAGGCGGAAUGCGUGGUGUAGCGGUGAAAUGCUUAGAUA